This 236-nucleotide ribosomal RNA is filed under the name uncultured Glomus. RNAcentral describes it as "partial 18S rRNA". It matches the Rfam family "Eukaryotic small subunit ribosomal RNA", at positions 548 to 785 of the family's 1831-position model. The record is from RNAcentral. Lineage: Eukaryota; Fungi; Glomeromycota; Glomeromycetes; Glomerales; Glomeraceae.
UUGGAGGGCAAGUCUGGUGCCAGCAGCCGCGGUAAUUCCAGCUCCAAUAGCGUAUAUUAAAGUUGUUGCAGUUAAAAAGCUCGCAGUUGAAUUUCGGGAUCAAUAUUUCGGUCAUGCCGUUGGUAUGCACUGUUAUCAUUGAUUUCUCACCUUCUAAAGAACCGUAAUGCCAUUAAUUUGGUGUUACGGGGAAUUAGGACUGUUACCUUGAAAAAAUUAGAGUGUUUAAAGCAGGC